Molecule: long non-coding RNA, 966 nt
Filed under: Homo sapiens (human)
Lineage: Eukaryota; Metazoa; Chordata; Mammalia; Primates; Hominidae
Description: HSALNT0371257
Source: RNAcentral
GCCAAUGGUGGAUCAGACUUUGGAGCAGGUGAUCCUUGGACGCCCACAGUACAUCACCUUCAUGAGCGCAUCAGUGAACACCAGUCUAAGGAAGACAUCUCUGAACGUAAUUUUGGAGAUUUUGAUGAGUUCCAUUGAAACAAGGAGGAAUGUGAUGUCCAGUAUCAGUUCUGCAGACCCAAGGACAAAGAAAAUUCUGUGAUAAACUCAUCCAGUGUGACUGUAAUGUGGGUAUCUAUUUGAUACCUCCAAGUAACUGUUUAUUCUUGUGCCAGUUGAGUAGAUGGUACGGGCCAGUUGGUGUUGAUUAGUGAACCACGGACAAAGGGCAUAUGUCACAUGAGUUGCUCCUGGAUAAAGUCACCCAGUCACUUCCUGAUGAAUAUCCUGCAUAAACUCCAAAGACAAAAGAGAGUUAAGGUUGUUUUUCUCACCUUAGACCAGGCAGUGAUAGAAGAACUGGGGGAAGAGAUAAUUGUAUUUAUCUUGGUGAGGGUGACAAAUCAUGGCAAAUGAGCAAAAUGAAAAAGGUUUGCAGAUUUCAACAAACUUCUAAAAGAUCAGCUUACAGUCAUGUAUACAUCUCUUCCUUUGUUUCUAGUUUAUUUGCAUCUCAUUACUAUGUUCUCGGUUUAGGAUACAAGACACCGGACUUUCAAAUCAACAAUUGUUUCAAAAGACUCCUACUGGAUUCCUGCUAGUGAUGGGAGAAAAUUAUCAUUCUGCUGGAGGGCAGUGGCUUGAGUAAGCUCACGGCAGCCUCAAACUCCUUGGCUCAAGGGAUCCUGCCUCAGUCUCUCAGGUAGCUGGGACUACAGGCACACAACACACUAUGCCUGGCUACAUUUUAAAUUCUAUUUUGGUAGAGAUGGGCGCUCACUAUGUUGACCGGGCUGGUCUUGAACUCCUGACCCCAAGUUAUCCUCCUGCCUUGGCCCCCCAAAGUGCUAGGAAUACAGGCACACG